Molecule: transfer RNA, 63 nt
Filed under: Raillietina sp. HL-2022
Lineage: Eukaryota; Metazoa; Platyhelminthes; Cestoda; Cyclophyllidea; Davaineidae
Description: tRNA-Phe
Source: RNAcentral
UUCUCUUUAGCUUAAAUUUAAAGCAUUAGUUUGAAGCGCUGAGGAUAAUUUUAUUAAGGGAGA